CUCGUAGCUCAGUGGACAGAGCGGCUGCCUUCUAAGCAGCGGGUCGCAGGUUCGAAUCCUGCCGAGGGCAUCCA
Molecule: transfer RNA, 74 nt
Filed under: Actinomycetes bacterium
Lineage: Bacteria; Bacillati; Actinomycetota; Actinomycetes
Description: Actinobacteria bacterium tRNA-Arg
Rfam family: tRNA
About the family: Transfer RNA (tRNA) molecules are approximately 80 nucleotides in length. Their secondary structure includes four short double-helical elements and three loops (D, anti-codon, and T loops). Further hydrogen bonds mediate the characteristic L-shaped molecular structure. tRNAs have two regions of fundamental functional importance: the anti-codon, which is responsible for specific mRNA codon recognition, and the 3' end, to which the tRNAs corresponding amino acid is attached (by aminoacyl-tRNA synthetases). tRNAs cope with the degeneracy of the genetic code in two manners: having more than one tRNA (with a specific anti-codon) for a particular amino acid; and 'wobble' base-pairing, i.e. permitting non-standard base-pairing at the 3rd anti-codon position.
Source: RNAcentral